AGACCCGAAACCCGGUGAUCUAGCCAUGGGCAGGUUGAAGGUUGGGUAACACUAACUGGAGGACCGAACCGACUAAUGUUGAAAAAUUAGCGGAUGACCUGUGGCUGGGGGUGAAAGGCCAAUCAAACCGGGAGAUAGCUGGUUCUCCCCGAAAGCUAUUUAGGUAGCGCCUCGUGAAUUCAUCUCCGGGGGUAGAGCACUGUUUCGGCUAGGGGGCCAUCCCGGCUUACCAACCCGAUGCAAACUGCGAAUACCGGAGAAUGUUAUCACGGGAGACACACGGCGGGUGCUAACGUCCGUCGUGAAGAGGGAAACAACCCAGACCGCCAGCUAAGGUCCCAAAGUCAUGGUUAAGUGGGAAACGAUGUGGGAAGGCCCAGACAGCCAGGAUGUUGGCUUAGAAGCAGCCAUCAUUUAAAGAAAGCGUAAUAGCUCACUGGUCGAGUCGGCCUGCGCGGAAGAUGUAACGGGGCUAAACCAUGCACCGAAGCUGCGGCAGCGAACGUAUCACUUAAAGCGAUUCAGCGGGUUACGAUUGACGGAGCGAAGCGACGUCAAAGCGUAUACAAAGUCGAGUCGGUUUAAGGAUACGUUCGUUGGGUAGGGGAGCGUUCUGUAAGCCUGCGAAGGUGGCCUGUGAGGGUUGCUGGAGGUAUCAGAAGUGCGAAUGCUGACAUAAGUAACGAUAAAGCGGGUGAAAAGCCCGCUCGCCGGAAGACCAAGGGUUCCUGUCCAACGUUAAUCGGGGCAGGGUGAGUCGACCCCUAAGGCGAGGCCGAAAGGCGUAGUCGAUGGGAAACGGGUUAAUAUUCCCGUACUUGGUGUUACUGCGAAGGGGGGACGGAGAAGGCUAUGUUGGCCGGGCGACGGUUGUCCCGGUUUAAGCGUGUAGGUGUGUGUUCCAGGUAAAUCCGGUUCACUUUAACACUGAGGCGUGAUGACGAGGCACUACGGUGCUGAAGCAACAAAUGCCCUGCUUCCAGGAAAAGCCUCUAAGCAUCAGGUAACAUCAAAUCGUACCCCAAACCGACACAGGUGGUCAGGUAGAGAAUACCAAGGCGCUUGAGAGAACUCGGGUGAAGGAACUAGGCAAAAUGGUGCCGUAACUUCGGGAGAAGGCACGCUGACAUGUAGGUGAAGUGAUUUACUCA
RNAcentral lists this ribosomal RNA (1151 nucleotides) under Salmonella enterica subsp. enterica serovar Infantis. RNAcentral describes it as "partial 23S ribosomal RNA". It matches the Rfam family "Bacterial large subunit ribosomal RNA", at positions 711 to 1773 of the family's 2925-position model. Lineage: Bacteria; Pseudomonadati; Pseudomonadota; Gammaproteobacteria; Enterobacterales; Enterobacteriaceae. The record is from RNAcentral.